GAUGAACGCUGGCGGCGUGCCUAAUACAUGCAAGUCGAGCGAACAGACGAGGAGCUUGCUCCUCUGACGUUAGCGGCGGACGGGUGAGUAACACGUGGAUAACCUACCUAUAAGACUGGGAUAACUUCGGGAAACCGGAGCUAAUACCGGAUAAUAUAUUGAACCGCAUGGUUCAAUAGUGAAAGACGGUUUUGCUGUCACUUAUAGAUGGAUCCGCGCCGCAUUAGCUAGUUGGUAAGGUAACGGCUUACCAAGGCAACGAUGCGUAGCCGACCUGAGAGGGUGAUCGGCCAAACUGGAACUGAGACACGGUCCAGACUCCUACGGGAGGCAGCAGUAGGGAAUCUUCCGCAAUAGGCGAAAGCCUGACGGAGCAACGCCGCGUGAGUGAUGAAGGUCUUCGGAUCGUAAAACUCUGUUAUUAGGGAAGAGCAAAUGUGUAAGUAACUAUGCACGUCUUGACGGUACCUAAUCAGAAAGCCACGGCUAACUACGUGC
This 498-nucleotide ribosomal RNA is filed under the name uncultured bacterium. Its description in RNAcentral is "partial 16S ribosomal RNA". It matches the Rfam family "Bacterial small subunit ribosomal RNA", at positions 28 to 508 of the family's 1533-position model. The record is from RNAcentral.